UACACUCCUGCGGGAGGCAGCAGUGGGGAAUUUUGGACAAUGGGCGAAAGCCUGAUCCAGCAAUGCCGCGUGUGUGAAGAAGGCCUUCGGGUUGUAAAGCACUUUUGUCCGGAAAGAAAUCCUUGGCUCUAAUACAGUCGGGGGAUGACGGUACCGGAAGAAUAAGCACCGGCUAACUACGUGCCAGCAGCCGCGGUAAUACGUAGGGUGCGAGCGUUAAUCGGAAUUACUGGGCGUAAAGCGUGCGCAGGCGGUUUGCUAAGACCGAUGUGAAAUCCCCGGGCUCAACCUGGGAACUGCAUUGGUGACUGGCAGGCUAGAGUAUGGCAGAGGGGGGUAGAAUUCCACGUGUAGCAGUGAAAUGCGUAGAGAUGUGGAGGAAUACCGAUGGCGAAGGCAGCCCCCUGGGCCAAUACUGACGCUCAUGCACGAAAGCGUGGGGAGCAAACAGGAUUAGAAACCCGGGUAGUCCCAU
This 475-nucleotide ribosomal RNA is filed under the name uncultured organism. Its description in RNAcentral is "partial 16S ribosomal RNA". It matches the Rfam family "Bacterial small subunit ribosomal RNA", at positions 332 to 798 of the family's 1533-position model. The record is from RNAcentral.